This is a long non-coding RNA of Mugil cephalus (flathead mullet), 428 nucleotides long. RefSeq lists it as uncharacterized. The record is from RefSeq and is a predicted model, not a curated record. The transcript is spliced from 3 exons. Lineage: Eukaryota; Metazoa; Chordata; Actinopteri; Mugiliformes; Mugilidae.
CUGGACUGGAGGGAGGAGAUACGGAAAUGAAAUCGGUCAUGAAUACGACGAUUUUCUAUUUUAAUUUUGAAGCUGUUUCUGGAACCGGAUCAGCUGAUCAGGACUGACUCACCACUUCCCGGAGAAACAUGUAGAGCAGAGAAACCAGAAACCAGAGACCAGAGACCAGAACCCUGAACCCUGAAGACCUGGAGACCAACUGGAAGCACCAGAUCUGACUCAGAAGAUAAAACCUGAACCAGGUCCAGACCUGAUACAAACGGCAGCUCGGGGAUUUACUUAGCACUGGUUUUUCCCCAGACUCUGGUCCUGGUCCUGAUCCUGGUCCUGGUCCUGGUCCUGGCUGUGCCUCCAGACUCUGGUCCUGGUCCUGAUCCUGGUCCUGGUCCUGGUCCUGGCUGUGCCUCCAGACUCUGGUCCUGGUCCUG